UAACAAUUAAUAUAUUAACCAUUUCAUGUUCCUGCAAGAAAGAAAGUAGGUUAAUUCUAAAAUAACAUCUACCUGUCACCUAAGGAAAAAUAAUUGAACAAGGGUGAGCGUUCAACUCAGAGAGUUUAAAUAUUGAUUAUAAAUAUAAUUUACAACUAAUUCAUCCCUAAGUAUGAAAUGCACACUGAACAUAUAUAAUAAAUAAAUUAUCGAAUACUCGCACAAGAAGAUAAUUU
This 236-nucleotide unclassified non-coding RNA is filed under the name Hevea brasiliensis (rubber tree). Lineage: Eukaryota; Viridiplantae; Streptophyta; Magnoliopsida; Malpighiales; Euphorbiaceae. The record is from RNAcentral.